AAUGUGUGAUGACAAACUGUUUCGGUCCCAAAUGAGGGGCCUGAUUACUUACGAGAUCAACUGCCUUUCCCAUU
Molecule: small nucleolar RNA, 74 nt
Organism: Astatotilapia calliptera (eastern happy)
Lineage: Eukaryota; Metazoa; Chordata; Actinopteri; Cichliformes; Cichlidae
Gene: SNORD73
Rfam family: Small nucleolar RNA SNORD73
About the family: U73 is a member of the C/D class of snoRNA which contain the C (UGAUGA) and D (CUGA) box motifs. U73 is encoded within the introns of ribosomal protein S3a and contains a 12nt region of complementarity to a conserved sequence in 28S ribosomal RNA.
Source: Ensembl